AAGUCAAGGUUUGCUCAGAGAAAUCUUCCCAGAAAAGAUAUUUGAAAAAAAUUAAAUUGGAAAUUUGAUUUUGGAACAAUAAAUAAUAAAUAAUCAGCCUAAAAAGCAAAUCAUUAGGGAGCAUGUUAUUGACAGAACAUAAGUAAAAGCUUAAAGACAUUAGAGAAGCACAGAAUAUUCAGGUACAGUAUGCAGUUCUUGAAUUGAGUAAUUCAAGAAGGGAAGAAUGGUGGAAGAUGAAGCUAUCAAGGGACUCGGGGUUACCUUGGAUUAUUCAAGGUUAUUGUGACUCCUGAUUCGGCUCCAGAGACAAGACAGAUAUUCUUAUUCUGUCUGCCUUCCAGAGAGAUGAUAUGAAUAAGAGGAUACAAGAUAAAGAGGUCUCUAGUAUUUUGCUAUUUUUAACCAUUGGAUGUUGCAGACAAGAACACUGAACAUUUAUGUUGCCUGGCCUGGUGAAACCAAGUUACUUUUCGCUGAGUCUCAUAUUCCGAGUGUAAAACAGAGGAAUAUAUUGAUUUUCUUUUGAGGAGACUUUGGAUAUCAAUUUCUUGUUAAGGACCCUGAAACUAGACCUGGAUAUUUCAUGGAAGCAAGAAGCAGAAAGACCACAGUGAAGAAAACAGAUGACUUUUCCUAAAUUCUGUCUUAUAAUGUUCCAGCAGGUGGACAGAGUACAGUGACAACAAUGUAAGGAGAAGAUAUUAAGAAAUCAAGGCACGGAUAUAUGUCUUGAAAGUCUGUCCAUAAAUGGCAUGAA
This is a long non-coding RNA of Suricata suricatta (meerkat), 760 nucleotides long. RefSeq lists it as uncharacterized. The transcript is spliced from 4 exons. NCBI's taxonomy places the organism in Eukaryota, Metazoa, Chordata, Mammalia, Carnivora, Herpestidae. The record is from RefSeq and is a predicted model, not a curated record.